GACGAACGCUGGCGGCGUGCUUAACACAUGCAAGUCGAGCGGUAAGGCCCUUUCGGGGGUACACGAGCGGCGAACGGGUGAGUAACACGUGGGUGACCUGCCCUCAGCUCUGGGAUAAGCCUGGGAAACCGGGUCUAAUACCGGAUAUGACUCCAUGACGCAUGUUGUGGGGUGGAAAGCCUUGUGCGGCUGAGGAUGGGCCCGCGGCCCAUCAGCUUGUUGGUGGGGUGAUGGCCUACCAAGGCGACGACGGGUAGCCGGCCUGAGAGGGCGACCGGCCACACUGGGACUGAGACACGGCCCAGACUCCUACGGGAGGCAGCAGUGGGGAAUCUUGCGCAAUGGGCGAAAGCCUGACGCAGCGACGCCGCGUGAGGGAUGACGGCCU
Molecule: ribosomal RNA, 388 nt
Filed under: uncultured bacterium
Lineage: Bacteria
Description: bacterial SSU rRNA
Rfam family: Bacterial small subunit ribosomal RNA
Source: RNAcentral